GAGAAAGACAAGAGAGGAAUCUUUCAUUCUUAGGCUCAGAUGUCGGGAUCUACGUGAGAGACGAACUGAAAAUUGACAACCCCCCCCCAGCAAAACCCAUUGAGCAAGACACGAAGGGAGCCCUUGCAGUUGUCUCUCUCCACACGCUCAGAGGUAAGACAAAUCACAACUUGCAUUUGCAAUGAUAACAUAAUAACAACAUUUGCAAAUAAAAAGAUCCCUAAUCUUAGUUACCUUAGUUACCAUUUUACCUGCAGACAAUAGAAGGGGGCAGACUUUGGGUGUUUCACUGCCUUGUUUUGCUUGUGCACUUGCACUAGAGGAGUGAGUCAGUAAAAGUGUCAGAGUCCCGUAACAGACGGCGUGCGCAAGAUAAUUAGCCUGCAGUCAUCUGGAAGCAGCGCAGCUCUGCCCAGGUGCCCACUGUGCACUGAAAGAGACCAGAUGACCUUUUACUCAGCUUCCCACUGCAGUCACUUAAAACAGUGAUGGAUGUUUCCCUUAACACCCUGCUCCCCACCAGCCCUCGUUCCCCCCUCUCCACCCUCCCUCUUUCUCAUCUCACCAUUUUCCCCUCCUUUCCUCGUCUCUGCGCCUCUUCACCACCACUCCUGCAUUAUU
This is a non-coding RNA of Paralichthys olivaceus (Japanese flounder), 621 nucleotides long. The record is from RefSeq and is a predicted model, not a curated record. NCBI's taxonomy places the organism in Eukaryota, Metazoa, Chordata, Actinopteri, Pleuronectiformes, Paralichthyidae.